This is a non-coding RNA of Punica granatum (pomegranate), 107 nucleotides long. The record is from Rfam. Lineage: Eukaryota; Viridiplantae; Streptophyta; Magnoliopsida; Myrtales; Lythraceae.
AAUCCAUGGUGUGGACACUUCCUCUACAACACCUUAUACCUAUCCCAAGCCUCAUGAAAAGUUUCGUUAUCAUGCUGCCUGAAUGAUGUGAUUUCAUUCCUUAGUUG